CCUUCGAUAGCUCAGUUGGUAGAGCGGAGGACUGUAGGCUGUAAGUAAUCCUUAGGUCGCUGGUUCAAUUCCGGCUCGAAGGA
This 83-nucleotide transfer RNA is filed under the name Struthio camelus australis. It matches the Rfam family "tRNA". From Rfam's summary of the family: Transfer RNA (tRNA) molecules are approximately 80 nucleotides in length. Their secondary structure includes four short double-helical elements and three loops (D, anti-codon, and T loops). Further hydrogen bonds mediate the characteristic L-shaped molecular structure. tRNAs have two regions of fundamental functional importance: the anti-codon, which is responsible for specific mRNA codon recognition, and the 3' end, to which the tRNAs corresponding amino acid is attached (by aminoacyl-tRNA synthetases). tRNAs cope with the degeneracy of the genetic code in two manners: having more than one tRNA (with a specific anti-codon) for a particular amino acid; and 'wobble' base-pairing, i.e. permitting non-standard base-pairing at the 3rd anti-codon position. Lineage: Eukaryota; Metazoa; Chordata; Aves; Struthioniformes; Struthionidae. The record is from Rfam by way of RNAcentral.